AAGAAAACGAAGCUGCAAAACUCCGAAUGAGAAAAUUGAGAGAACGACUGAAAAAACGUACUGAAGAUGAAUCUCAACCUGAUGCAAGACUGAUAUUCCCUUUUAGAAGUCGUCAGUCGUAUGGCAAAGCACGCAAAAAGGCCAUUUCAGCACUACUGCAUAGUCCAAGAAAAAGAAGAGAGCUUAUAAAAAAAUUUGCUGAAGAUAUUGGCCUAAUUGAGGAGCUACCAUUCAAAAGAGACUUUGUCCAAAAAUUGAAAAUUUUGAGUUAAAUACUAAUUUCACGAUUUAUGUGGUUCAUA
Molecule: long non-coding RNA, 302 nt
Filed under: Androctonus crassicauda
Lineage: Eukaryota; Metazoa; Arthropoda; Arachnida; Scorpiones; Buthidae
Source: RNAcentral